UGAGGAAUAUUGGUCAAUGGGCGCAAGCCUGAACCUGCGACGCCGCGUGAGUGAUGAAGGUCGUAAGAUCGUAAAACUCUUUUCAGGGAUCUUAAAGCCUGUCUGUCAACAACAGGCAGGUCUGACUCUCCCUGGAAGAAGCCCCAGCCAACUACGUGCCAGCAGCUGCGGUAAUACGUAGGGGGCGAGCGUUAUUCGGAAUUACUGGGUGUAAAGGGUAUGUAGGCGGCCCUUCAAGUCGCGUGUCAAAGUCCAGUGCUCAACGCUGGGUGUGCACGCGAUACUGACGGGCUUGAGGGCUGGAGAGGUGAGCGGAAUUCCCGGUGUAGUGGUAAAAUACGUAGAGAUCGGGAGGAACACCAGCGGCGCAGGCGGCUCACUAGACAGUUUCUGACGCUAAGAUACGAAAGCGUGGGGAGCAAACA
This 425-nucleotide ribosomal RNA is filed under the name uncultured prokaryote. RNAcentral describes it as "bacterial SSU rRNA". It matches the Rfam family "Bacterial small subunit ribosomal RNA", at positions 355 to 774 of the family's 1533-position model. The record is from RNAcentral.